Molecule: long non-coding RNA, 302 nt
Filed under: Musa acuminata (dwarf banana)
Lineage: Eukaryota; Viridiplantae; Streptophyta; Magnoliopsida; Zingiberales; Musaceae
Description: long non-coding RNA (MACU_LNC005405)
Source: RNAcentral
AAUGAGUUCACUGAUUGAUCCGCUUACGGAAUGCUGGAUGGUUGAUGAUGCCUUAUUGUCAGACAGCAAUUCCGUAGUCCUAGUGGUGUAUCUGGUCCUUAGACUUGAGACACCAAGGAUGUCCUGUAUGAGUGCUCCACUCUUUGAUACAAGACUUAUAGGUUUGGCUGUCACAGAUCUAGUACAGCUGGUCAUUGGGAGUGGUAGUCGACCUUACGAGGGCUAUUGAGUGUCGAUAGAGGAUCAUCCACUCUCGGCGUCAUGAGAGGAAUAUCCCAUGUAUUCUUGCUCAGACAAAUCCC